AGAGUUUGAUCCUGGCUCAGGAUGAACGCUGGCGGCGUGCCUAAUACAUGCAAGUCGAGCGAACGGACGAGAAGCUUGCUUCUCUGAUGUUAGCGGCGGACGGGUGAGUAACACGUGGAUAACCUACCUAUAAGACUGGGAUAACUUCGGGAAACCGGAGCUAAUACCGGAUAAUAUUUUGAACCGCAUGGUUCAAAAGUGAAAGACGGUCUUGCUGUCACUUAUAGAUGGAUCCGCGCUGCAUUAGCUAGUUGGUAAGGUAACGGCUUACCAAGGCAACGAUGCAUAGCCGACCUGAGAGGGUGAUCGGCCACACUGGAACUGAGACACGGUCCAGACUCCUACGGGAGGCAGCAGUAGGGAAUCUUCCGCAAUGGGCGAAAGCCUGACGGAGCAACGCCGCGUGAGUGAUGAAGGUCUUCGGAUCGUAAAACUCUGUUAUUAGGGAAGAACAUAUGUGUAAGUAACUGUGCACAUCUUGACGGUACCUAAUCAGAAAGCCACGGCUAACUACGUGCCAGCAGCCGCGGUAAUACGUAGGUGGCAAGCGUUAUCCGGAAUUAUUGGGCGUAAAGCGCGCGUAGGCGGUUUUUUAAGUCUGAUGUGAAAGCCCACGGCUCAACCGUGGAGGGUCAUUGGAAACUGGAAAACUUGAGUGCAGAAGAGGAAAGUGGAAUUCCAUGUGUAGCGGUGAAAUGCGCAGAGAUAUGGAGGAACACCAGUGGCGAAGGCGACUUUCUGGUCUGUAACUGACGCUGAUGUGCGAAAGCGUGGGGAUCAAACAGGAUUAGAUACCCUGGUAGUCCACGCCGUAAACGAUGAGUGCUAAGUGUUAGGGGGUUUCCGCCCCUUAGUGCUGCAGCUAACGCAUUAAGCACUCCGCCUGGGGAGUACGACCGCAAGGUUGAAACUCAAAGGAAUUGACGGGGACC
This 932-nucleotide ribosomal RNA is filed under the name Staphylococcus aureus. RNAcentral's name for it is "bacterial SSU rRNA". It matches the Rfam family "Bacterial small subunit ribosomal RNA", at positions 8 to 921 of the family's 1533-position model. Lineage: Bacteria; Bacillati; Bacillota; Bacilli; Caryophanales; Staphylococcaceae. RNAcentral also lists the same sequence under 1 other name. The record is from RNAcentral.